This 447-nucleotide ribosomal RNA is filed under the name uncultured bacterium. RNAcentral describes it as "bacterial SSU rRNA". It matches the Rfam family "Bacterial small subunit ribosomal RNA", at positions 328 to 792 of the family's 1533-position model. The record is from RNAcentral.
GUACCAGACUCCUACGGGAGGCAGCAGUGGGGAAUAUUGCACAAUGGGGGAAACCCUGAUGCAGCGACGCCGCGUGAGUGAAGAAGUAAUUCGUUAUGUAAAGCUCUAUCAGCAGGGAAGAAAAUGACGGUACCUGACUAAGAAGCCCCGGCUAACUACGUGCCAGCAGCCGCGGUAAUACGUAGGGGGCAAGCGUUAUCCGGAUUCACUGGGUGUAAAGGGAGCGUAGACGGCGACGCAAGUCUGGAGUGAAAGCCCGGGGCCCAACCCCGGGACUGCUCUGGAAACUGCGGCGCUGGAGUACGGGAGGGGCAGGCGGAAUUCCUGGUGUAGCGGUGAAAUGCGUAGAUAUCAGGAGGAACACCGGCGGCGAAGGCGGCCUGCUGGACCGUGACUGACGUUGAGGCUCGAGAGCGUGGGGAGCAAACAGGAUUAGAUACCCGAGUA